Molecule: transfer RNA, 75 nt
Filed under: Pseudoleptotrichia goodfellowii
Lineage: Bacteria; Fusobacteriati; Fusobacteriota; Fusobacteriia; Fusobacteriales; Leptotrichiaceae
Also listed under: 1 other name
Description: tRNA-Cys
Rfam family: tRNA
About the family: Transfer RNA (tRNA) molecules are approximately 80 nucleotides in length. Their secondary structure includes four short double-helical elements and three loops (D, anti-codon, and T loops).
Source: RNAcentral
GGCGACAUGGUCGAGUGAUUUAGGCAGAGGUCUGCAAAACCUUGUACACCGGUUUGAAUCCGGUUGUCGCCUCCA